UACAGAGGGUGCGAGCGUUGUCCGGAAUCACUGGGCGUAAAGGGCGCGUAGGUGGUGGCUUAAGCGUGCGGUGAAAGCUCGGGGCUCAACUCCGAGUCGGCCGUGCGAACUGGGCUCACUGGAGCAUAGUAGAGGCAGGUGGAAUUCCGGGUGUAGCGGUGGAAUGCGUAGAGAUCCGGAAGAACACCGGUGGCGAAGGCGGCUCUCUGGGCCUUACCUGGACGCUGAGGAGCGAAAGCGUGGGUAGCGAACAGG
Molecule: ribosomal RNA, 255 nt
Filed under: uncultured bacterium
Lineage: Bacteria
Description: partial 16S ribosomal RNA
Rfam family: Bacterial small subunit ribosomal RNA
Source: RNAcentral